Leptonychotes weddellii (Weddell seal) is the source of this 1939-nucleotide non-coding RNA. The record is from RefSeq and is a predicted model, not a curated record. NCBI's taxonomy places the organism in Eukaryota, Metazoa, Chordata, Mammalia, Carnivora, Phocidae.
GCGGAGGGGGCUGCGGCGUCCCAGGGCGAGGCGGUGACGUGAGUUCGGCGCACCUGGGUCGGGCAGGUAAGGGCCGGUGCGGGACGGGGAGCGGAGCUCGAAGACUCUACCUGCGCAAAGCCAGGUGUUGCUUACCCGACCGGUGAAGAAGAGCGGUGGCGACGGGUGAUCUUAACUGGGGACGUGGUUCGGAGGGACGUCCGCUUCUGGUCGCCGGAUUGAGAAAAGAGUCUUUGGCUGGCCCAGAGCAAGGAGAGCUGACUUGAGGCCCAGCUCUUGGGAUCCCCGUGGAUACGCUGCCUGCUCAUCUCUAUCAUGGCCCUCCACCCCCGCAGAGUUCGGCUGAAGCCCUGGCUGGUGGCCCAGGUGGAUAGUGGCCUGUACCCCGGGCUCAUCUGGCUACACAGGGACUCCAAACGCUUCCAGAUUCCCUGGAAACAUGCUACCCGGCAUAGCCCCCAACAAGAGGAGGAAAAUACCAUUUUCAAGGUAAAGAAAGGACUUCUUGCACCAUCUGACUUAAAAUGUUUUCCAGUUCUGUCAGAGCUUUCUGAGUUUUUUGGUUGUUGUUGUUGUUUUGUUCUGUUUUCUCUUUUGGCGUGAGGAAUACAGUAGAUCCAAAAUGCUGAGGCAUCAGAGAGAAUGUUUAUGAAGGGGGUGCCCAAACUUAGGCAUAGUAAUUUCUCUUGCUGGGGCAUAUCUAUAAUGUUUGAGUCUGUUUAUUCUUUCCCAUUGGUUGAAGGUACUCAAUUCACAUCCCAAAAGAUCCCAGGUGCAGUUGGCUAAACUGCAAGUGAUCGUAUUGGUGUGGUUGUUCCAAAAGCUCCCGAGGGUCAGCAAAUGACUCUUCCUCUUCAUUCACUCAGGGCUCUUGCUAUGAAGAGAGGUGCUUGGGCCUGGGAAUGACUCUUCAGACCAGGACAGAACUACUGAGUGUUAGCAGGCUCCUAACAUAGCCUGUAGGAUGGGCGUAGAGGGCCCUCUGCAAGGUGUUCUUUUGAUAUUAAAAUAUCUUGCCCUAUCCAUAACCUCUGCUUAAAAAUUAAUGGUGAUUUAGUACAAGUUUUUAUUAUACAAGUAUGUUUUCUUAAAUAAAAAAUAGCUCUGAUGUGACAGUUGUUUUACUUAACUGAAAACAAGAUUUAAUCAGAUGGCAUUUUACAAAAUUUAAUGAAGCCAAAGCUUGGCUUUAAGACAGAAGUAGGUGGGAAGCUGGUCAUGGGGAGGGGUGUUAUGUGGUUUAUAACUCUGGACCCUGUGCCUCUGCUUCAGACCAACUUCUCUGUGCUGGUCAGCCUUCCAUCUCAUGAGUUGCUUUAGUUCCUGCAUCCCCAAGACACGGAGAAGUGAGUUUAGCCUUUUCUUCCCUCUAUAAGCUGGAAGUCAGAAGUGAAAUCCAGUCCCUACCCUGGGCCUCUCAAGAUUGAUGGCCCCAGGUUCUUGCUGAGAUUGGAUCAGAAGAAGUGGGCUCACCCCUCGAAGAGGGCCGUCCUAGAGAUGUUUCCCACCCAACUCAGUUAUAUCAGGUAUAAGAUACAAGCGGUAGAGGGAAAAUUGGCCUGAGAGCACUUAGAAAGAAAGUAAAUGAGCGCUUUUAAUUUAAAAAAUAAUGAUAUGGAAAUGAUAGGAAAAACAUCUGUAAACCAGCCCCAAUUACUGAAGUUGGCAUCGAGAGGGGGAUGGGCCUGCCCUGGCCCAGCUGGCCUCUGGUUGUGGCCUUGGUUUGAAACUGGAUUUGCUGUUGGUGGCUGAGGGUGGCUGGCCAUGGCGGAAGAGGCUGGUUCCUGAAAGCCCAACGCAGGAGAGUGAUCUAUGUGUUCAGGGCUUGAGAAAAAGGUGGCUGCAGAAAGCUUGUCUUAUUUAUAUCUGUAUCUCUGUUUGCAGAAUGCUAAGGGAGGGCCUUGGAAGUCAGGAGAAGAGUGAGGGUGCUUUCACAGAU